This 1058-nucleotide long non-coding RNA is filed under the name Canis lupus familiaris (dog). RNAcentral describes it as "lncRNA (ENSCAFG00000056200.1)". Lineage: Eukaryota; Metazoa; Chordata; Mammalia; Carnivora; Canidae. The record is from RNAcentral.
CUCCCGACCCCACCCUGAGUUUUUGCACACAGGGGCCAAUGCUGGGGUCCUCUAUCUUUUCUGCAGCCCGCUGAAAGGCCAGGCUCAAAGUGGCACUCCAUAAAUAUUUGCUGACGGAGACAUUUUCUUAGGGAAGAGCAAGAGAUUUGGAGUCGGAAGACCUGGAGUUAAGUCUUGGUUCAACCAUGGGGGCUGAGCAAGUCCACUCGCUCUCUCUGGACCUGUAAAGCACCAACAUGUGUCUCCUGUAUGUAAGGCCCAUGUGAGGAGGAAGCCAGGGGAGAUUUGCAGCUCUUUGUAAACUGUGAAGGGAUGGAGCCACACCUGUCACAGCAAUUCCAGCCUUCUCUCACUACUCCUCGAAGUUCAGCAUUUCGUGUGUCCGGCGUACUUAUACCAAGGGUCACCAGACACCUGUGUGUGGUGCCUGCACACUGGUUCACAUCCACACCUGCCCCCUCUAAGGUAGGUAGGGUUUCUUCUAGUUCAAGUUGGAAAACAUGAAGUAGUAUUAAUAGUUCCCCCCCCCCACUCCCAAAUGAACAGUGAUGCUGCCAGGCAAAAGGCAACAAAAAAGCAUUUCAUUAGCUUUCGGGUGACUUGGAAACUCUCAUCUAAAAAUACGGACAAGGAGGGAGGAGCAAGAUGGCGGAAGAGUAGGGUCUCCAAAUCACCAGUCUCCACCAAACUACCUAGAAAACCUUCAAAUUAUCCUGAAAAUCUAUGAAUUCGGCCUGAGAUUUAAAGAGAGACCAGCUGGAAUGCAACAGUGAGAAGAGUUCGCGCUUCUAUCAAGGUAGGAAGACGGGGAAAAAGAAAUAAAGACACAAAGGCCUCCAAGGGGGAGGGGCCCCGCGAGGAGCCGGGCUGAGGCCGGGGCGAGGGUCCCCAGGACAGGAGAGCCCCGUCCCGGAGACGCAGGAGCUGCACCGACCUUCCCGGGCGGAAAGGGGCUCGCGGGGAGUUGGAGCAGGACCCAGGAGGGCGGGGAUGCCCUCGGGCUCCCCGGGACAGUAACAGCAACUGCGCACCCAGGAGAGUGCGCCGAGCUCCCUAAG